GUAAUUAAGUUGCUCACUUCUCUGUUUCAGUUGCAAGAACCUCUAUGUCAUUCCUGUACAAAUCCAUUCAGAAGCGACAAGGGCGAGGCACAGAAAUGGGAAACAGAAAGGUUGGGGAGAGACAACUUCCAUUGGCCUGUUCCUGCUGCUUGCUGCGUAACCUGCCACCCUCACACCCAGGAACUGAGCCUCAAGACAGGAGAUCGAGACACAGCCCCACCCCAGAUGCAGGGAGAGGAGUUCUCGGCGGCUGAUCUCUCGCUCCUCGGAGACUCCUCAGCCAUGGAGGAUCUGUCAGUCUGGCCGCGAAAGAGCCACCCCAGCAACACUUGACGGGCGUAGCAAACAUGUGCCCAAAACAAAUACACCAGACUGGAUUUGGGAGGCCAAUGUUAUGGCAGCCGACUGAAGAGGCUGAUGUCAUCCUGUAUUAUGUCAGGUGAAGGACAGGUGAGCACGGCUGGGUCAGAGUAGCUUCACUGGCCAAAAAGGACAACGGCUGGUGUGACCCCCAGAUCAGCAAGAACAUACUGAUGUGGCUUAGGGCCCUCGUAUUUAUGGGACCGCCUCUCCUGGUCUGCCCCGCAGAGGACCUUAAAGUCCAUGAAUAAUCCUAGUUUAGAAGAAGUCCCAGGCCCUAAGGAAGUCAGACUAUCCUCCCCCAGGGCCAGGGCCUUCUCAGUGGUGGGUCCGACCUGGUGGAACGCUCUGUCCCAUGAGACCAGGGCCCUGCAGGAUUUAACUUCCUUCCGCAGGGCCUGUAAGACAGAGCUAUUCCGCCUGACUUUCAAUUUUUCAAUUUGAACCUAUCCUGAUCUUUUAUUCCCCUUUCUUCCCUCCCCCUCCCCUUUUUAUGAAGAUUGCCCGCUCUGGGAUCCCACAGCUAAUUCUCCCCUGGUCUCCUCACUGGCCCAAAUAGGACUAAUUUAGCCAGCUAGCCCUGGUGAUCAUCUAAUGUUUAUUGGAUGGAUUUUCCACCUAAAUUGAUUUUUGAAUUCUGAAUUUAUUGUCAUUCACAUUUUAUACUGCAUUUUAUGCUGUUUUUAUUGCAUCAAUUAAGUGUUUUAAAUUUGUUGUUAGCCGCCCUGAGCCCGCUUUUCUGAACUGGGAAGGGUGGGGUAUAAAUAAAAUUAUUAUUAUUAUUAUUAUUAUUAUUAUUAUUAUUAUUAUUAUUAUUAUUAGAGGAGCCUUCUGGACCAGGCCAAUGGCCCAUCCUAUUCUCACAGUGGCUGAACAGUUGCCUAUUAUGGGAAACCAGCAAGGAGGAUGCAAGCACAAGAGCUGGUUUCAGAAGACUGCUGCCCCCAUGAAUUUGUCUAAUCCUUUUUUAAAGCCAGCAUCUUGAGAAGUAGAGACAUCACCUUGCCGACAAAGGUCCGUAUAGUU
This 1386-nucleotide long non-coding RNA is filed under the name Podarcis muralis (Common wall lizard). RNAcentral's name for it is "lncRNA (ENSPMRG00000007299.1)". Lineage: Eukaryota; Metazoa; Chordata; Lepidosauria; Squamata; Lacertidae. The record is from RNAcentral.